CCCUUAGAUGUUCGGGGCCGCACGCGCGCUACACUGAAGGAAUCAUCGUGUCUUAUCCUUGUCCGACAGGACCGGGUAACCCGUUGAACCUCCUUCGUGCUAGGGAUUGGGGCUUGUAAUUUUUCCCCAUGAACGAGGAAUUCCCAGUAAGCGCGAGUCAUCAGCUUGCAUUGAUUAUGUCCCUGCCCUUUGUACACACCGCCCGUCGCUCCUACCGAUUGAAUGUUCCGAUGAAUACCAUGGACUGAGAGUAUGAAUGGGUUCGCCUAUUUCUGCUUCUCGGGAAGUGGAGUAAAUCUUAACAUUUAGAGGAAGGAGAAGUCGUAACA
This 329-nucleotide ribosomal RNA is filed under the name uncultured eukaryote. RNAcentral's name for it is "partial 18S ribosomal RNA". It matches the Rfam family "Eukaryotic small subunit ribosomal RNA", at positions 1470 to 1796 of the family's 1831-position model. The record is from RNAcentral.